Molecule: ribosomal RNA, 242 nt
Filed under: Escherichia coli
Lineage: Bacteria; Pseudomonadati; Pseudomonadota; Gammaproteobacteria; Enterobacterales; Enterobacteriaceae
Description: partial 23S ribosomal RNA
Rfam family: Bacterial large subunit ribosomal RNA
Source: RNAcentral
UCAUUAACUGAAUCCAUAGGUUAAUGAGGCGAACCGGGGGAACUGAAACAUCUAAGUACCCCGAGGAAAAGAAAUCAACCGAGAUUCCCCCAGUAGCGGCGAGCGAACGGGGAGCAGCCCAGAGCCUGAAUCAGUGUGUGUGUUAGUGGAAGCGUCUGGAAAGGCGCGCGAUACAGGGUGACAGCCCCGUACACAAAAAUGCACAUGCUGUGAGCUCGAUGAGUAGGGCGGGACACGUGGUA